AAGCAUCGUUUCGGAGCGUUUCAGGCCAUAAAAACACUAGUUUAAACCACGGCAACUGCAACUGUGCUUUUAGGCUUUCUUACAGCAGCUUGGCAUCAGAACAUGACCACUAUACAAUAAGCGGUUUUAAAGAAGCCUGACAUCAGAACAUGACCAUUAUAAGCUGUAAUAGUGGAAACCAAUGCAGAAACACUAAAACAUCGUUUUGGAGCUUUUUAGGCCAUGAAAACACUAGUUUAAACCACGGCAAGUCCAUUAUAGGCUGUAAUGUUAGAAACCAAUGCAGAAACACUAAAAAAACCACGGCAAUUGCAACUGUGCUCUUAGGGUGUACUGAGCUGUUUUAAAGUAGCCUGGCAUUAGAACAUGACCAUUGUAACCUGUAGUGUUAGAAGCCAAAGCAGAAACACUAAAACAUCGUUUUGAAGCCUUUCAGGCCAAAAAACACUAGUUUAAACCAAGGCAACUGCAACUGUGCUUUUAGGCUGUUUGACAGCAGCUUGGCAUCAGAACAUGACCAUUAUACAGUAAGCUCUCUUACAGUAGCUUGGCAUCAUAACACAACCAUUAUAGUUUGUAAUGUUAGAAACCAAUGCAGAAACACUAAAACAUCGUUUUGGAGCUUUACACGCCAUAAGAACACUAGUUUAAACCACGGCACUUGCAACUAAGCUUGUACGGUGUAUUGAGCUGUGUUACAUUAGCUUGGCAUCAGAACAUGACCAUUAUAGGUUGUAAUGUUAGAAACCAAUGCAAAAACACUAAAACAUUGUUUUGGAGCUUCAAAGGCCAUAAAAACACUAGUUUAAAUUACGACACGACCGUCAUAAGCUGUAAUGUUAGAAACCAAUGCAUAAAAACUAAAACAUCGUUUUGGAGCGUUUUAGGCCAUAAAAAAAACACUAGUUUAAACCCCGGGACGACCAUUAUAAGCCAUAAUCUUGGAAACCAAUAAAGAAACACUAAAACAUCGUUUCGGAGCUUAUCAGGCCAUAAAAACACUAGUUUAAACCACGGCAACUGCAACUGUGCUUUUAGGUUGUCUUACAUCAGAUUGGCAUCAGAACAUGACCAUUAUUCUGAUGCCAGGCUUCUUUAAAACAGCUUCAGUAAGCUGUUUUAAAGAAGCCUGGCAUCAGAACAUGACCAAUAUAACCUGUAAUGUUAGAAACCAAUGCAGAAACACUAAAACAUCGUUUUGGAGCUUUUCAGGCCAUAAACACUAGUUUAAACCACGGCAAGACCAUUAUAGGCUGUAAUGUUAGAAACCAAUGCAGAAACACUAAAAAGAACAUGGCAAUUGCAACUGUGCUCUUAGGGUGUACUGAGCUGUUUUA
This 1337-nucleotide long non-coding RNA is filed under the name Betta splendens (Siamese fighting fish). Its description in RNAcentral is "lncRNA (ENSBSLG00000003937.1)". The record is from RNAcentral. Lineage: Eukaryota; Metazoa; Chordata; Actinopteri; Anabantiformes; Osphronemidae.